Molecule: long non-coding RNA, 275 nt
Organism: Quercus lobata
Lineage: Eukaryota; Viridiplantae; Streptophyta; Magnoliopsida; Fagales; Fagaceae
Exons: 2
Source: RefSeq, a predicted model, not a curated record
CCCGAGAGUAAGAGAAUGAACUAUUUUGUAGAUACUGUUCAAUGGAUCACAUUCCAUGCUUGGGAGGGCAGUUGUUGUGAAUGCUAAUCCUGAUAUGAUUUGGAAGCAUGAAAGGCCAUUGGUUUAAAGCUACAUGUAUCUCUAUUGGAUCUAGUCGACUUUUGUUCUUUGCUUGGAGAGGUGUGCAUGCAAAAGAAGACUCAAAAAAAUUUUGGAAACCAACUAUGGCAUAUCAACUAUUGUUGAAAUGAAGAUACAAGUCCAAAGCACAAAAC